Molecule: long non-coding RNA, 1069 nt
Organism: Tripterygium wilfordii
Lineage: Eukaryota; Viridiplantae; Streptophyta; Magnoliopsida; Celastrales; Celastraceae
Exons: 5
Source: RefSeq, a predicted model, not a curated record
CUAUUACUAUCUAUAAAAUUGUAAGUGUAGGCGUGAUUUGGCGGCGAGUUCCCUCCUCACUUUGUACUCUCGCGUGUGGAUGUAUAUAUCUUCAAAUGUACCGUUGGAUUGCUGUCUUUCUUCUAAUAGAUGGCUAUGAUGGGCAGUUGCUUUUCAUUUGUUUGUUUAUAUAGUUUUGUCUUCUUUGGUCCCAGUUUGUGCACGUGUCAAUGCAAGGGUAGUAAACAUCUGAAAUCUGGUGCAUGCACCUGCUUUUUACUUCGCCUGAGGCCUUGCUUUUCUUGGGUUCAUGCACGGGGAUUGGAGUCUUGCUUUCUUCUCCCCUCCCAAUACAACUCAGCGACCCAUCGUUGAUCUUCUUGGGUUCAUCGUUCAUCUUUGCAAUUCUUUGCUCUUUUCAUGUUGGGUGAUUAGAUCCACUCAUCUGGUGCGUUUCUGUGGUUUUUUCCCAGGUCAUCGAUUACAUGGGCACAUGCGAGCCUGAUUUGACUAGGCGUAUCUCGGAUCUCCGUCGAUUCUCCCGCGUUCCAUGGAAUUGCACCUUCGAUUUCGUCCGUUGUCAAGAAUACAGUCGGGAAAAGGAAGGUUAGCCUAACAGUUCAAAAAUUCAAUAUCAUGUGGUUGCAACUGUAAGGAGUAGAGCUCUAACUAAUAUCUCCAAAGAUCAUUAUGCUUUGAUGUUGGUGGUGGAAACUCAGCAGCUUCUCAUUCAACCAAGUGCGGCGUAUCGGUUUCUCUCACCUAAUUGAAUUAUCAUUUCCUUUGACAUUUUAGGGGGCUUGCGUGGAGGACUAGGUUAACUUUUCAGUGGCCACUACAGGACACAACCGAGUGCUUUGACCAAUUUUCCAAUUGACAAGGGGCUAGGAUAAACUUCAAUAUAAGUUCCCUCUCUAUUUGUUCUCUAUUUCAAAGCGUAUUUUGUGGUAUUGUUUAAGUCCUCCAUUUUUAUUAUUGUUAUCCUUUACAAACUCUAAAAGAUUUUUCACUACGAUUAUUGUACAAGUACAAAGAUAAUGAUAUGUUAUAAACAGAGUGGAAUAAAAUAAAGAUAUGAAGUUUACAUGAA